RNAcentral lists this ribosomal RNA (301 nucleotides) under uncultured bacterium. RNAcentral's name for it is "partial 16S ribosomal RNA". It matches the Rfam family "Bacterial small subunit ribosomal RNA", at positions 509 to 807 of the family's 1533-position model. The record is from RNAcentral.
CAGUCGCCGCGGGAAUACGUAGGGUGCGAGCGUUAAUCGGAAUUACUGGGCGUAAAGCGUGCGCAGGCGGUUGUGUAAGACAGGUGUGAAAUCCCCGGGCUUAACCUGGGAACUGCGCUUGUGACUGCACAGCUAGAGUAUGGCAGAGGGGGGUGGAAUUCCACGUGUAGCAGUGAAAUGCGUAGAGAUGUGGAGGAAUACCGAUGGCGAAGGCAGCCCCCUGGGCCAAUACUGACGCUCAUGCACGAAAGCGUGGGGAGCAAACAGGAUUAGAUACCCCCGUAGUCCCUGUCUCUUAUAC